This 73-nucleotide transfer RNA is filed under the name Pseudomonadota bacterium. RNAcentral's name for it is "tRNA-Thr". It matches the Rfam family "tRNA". Rfam says of the family: Transfer RNA (tRNA) molecules are approximately 80 nucleotides in length. The record is from RNAcentral. Lineage: Bacteria; Pseudomonadati; Pseudomonadota.
GCCGCUGUAGCUCAGUUGGUAGAGCAGCGCAUUCGUAAUGCGAAGGUCGGAGGUUCGACUCCUCUCAGCGGCA